This is a non-coding RNA of Cricetulus griseus (Chinese hamster), 58 nucleotides long. The record is from Rfam. Lineage: Eukaryota; Metazoa; Chordata; Mammalia; Rodentia; Cricetidae.
UGGCUCAGUAGUUAAGAGCACUGGCUGCUCUUCCAGAGGACCUGGGUUCAAUUCCCAG